CAGGCAACUAUGAACCUUAUGAUGAAGCGAAAGGAAUUAGGAACAAGGAAACAAGGGGACAGGUUGAAAAAAUGAAAGACUUCUAUGACGAAGGGAUGUACAGGUUACUAAAUUUUGGCCCAAAAUGACUCCUCAUAAAAGCCUAUCCACUCUUUCGGAGGGUUACCAAUCCUACUACCGACAUCCGAAGAUUCUAACUUGAUGGA
This 206-nucleotide long non-coding RNA is filed under the name Elaeis guineensis (African oil palm). Its description in RNAcentral is "long non-coding RNA (EGUI_LNC006202)". Lineage: Eukaryota; Viridiplantae; Streptophyta; Magnoliopsida; Arecales; Arecaceae. The record is from RNAcentral.